UUCCGGUUGAUCCUGCCGGACCUGACUGCUAUCGGAUUGAUACUAAGCCAUGCGAGUCAUUGUAGCAAUACAAGGCAUACGGCUCAGUAACGCGUAGUCAACCUAACCUAUGGACGGGAAUAACCUCGGGAAACUGAGAAUAAUGCCCGAUAGAACAUUAUGCCUGGAAUGGUUUAUGUUCCAAAUGAUUUAUCGCCGUAGGAUGGGACUGCGGCCUAUCAGUUUGUUGGUGAGGUAAUGGCCCACCAAGACUAUUACAGGUACGGGCUCUGAGAGAAGUAGCCCGGAGAUGGGUACUGAGACACGGACCCAGGCCCCAUGGGGCGCAGCAGGCGAGAAAACUUUGCAAUGUGCGAAAGCACGACAAGGUUAAUCCGAGUGGUUUCUGCUAAAGAAACCUUUUGUCAGUCCUAGAAACACUGAUGAAUAAGGGGUGGGCAAGUUCUGGUGUCAGCCGCCGCGGUAAAACCAGCACCUCAAGUGGUCAGGAUGAUUAUUGGGCCUAAAGCAUCCGUAGCCGGCUCUGUAAGUUUUCGGUUAAAUCUGUACG
This 550-nucleotide ribosomal RNA is filed under the name uncultured marine group I thaumarchaeote. RNAcentral describes it as "bacterial SSU rRNA". It matches the Rfam family "Archaeal small subunit ribosomal RNA", at positions 1 to 557 of the family's 1478-position model. The record is from RNAcentral. Lineage: Archaea; Thermoproteati; Nitrososphaerota.